Molecule: long non-coding RNA, 286 nt
Organism: Thunnus maccoyii (southern bluefin tuna)
Lineage: Eukaryota; Metazoa; Chordata; Actinopteri; Scombriformes; Scombridae
Exons: 3
Source: RefSeq, a predicted model, not a curated record
GUGUGUACACCCUAUAAAUACAGGCGCAGCAGGAGAAACUGAAACACAACUCAUCCUUCCUUUCUGUUCAGAGGCAAACUGAGUGGUUUUUGCUGUUGACACCAAUUAGAAGACAUCAAGGAACAUCAGAUUUUGGACACUUUGAACUUCCAUAGUGACGUGUUCCUCUGCAGUGCCUAUGACAGAUGACAUGUAAGGAGUUUUGGAGAUGAUGGUUUAAAUCACGAGCAGCAUUUUGAAUCCCAACAGCUGUUGGAUCCUGAGUCAGACGACUGGAAUGAGAACA